GACGAACGCUGGCGGCGUGCUUAACACAUGCCAGUCGAACGGAAAGGCCCUGCUUUUGUGGGGUGCUCGAGUGGCGAACGGGUGAGUAACACGUGAGUAACCUGCCCUUGACUUUGGGAUAACUUCAGGAAACUGGGGCUAUUACCGGAUAGGAGCUCCUGCUGCAUGUUGGGGGUUGGAAAGUUUCGGCGGUUGGGGAUGGACUCGCGGCUUAUCAGCUUGUUGGUGGGGUAGUGGCUUACCAAGGCUUUGACGGGUAGCCGGCCUGAGAGGGUGACCGGCCACAUUGGGACUGAGAUACGGCCCAGACUCCUACGGGAGGCAGCAGUGGGGAAUAUUGCACAAUGGGCGGAAGCCUGAUGCAGCAACGCCGCGUGCGGGAUGACGGCCUUCGGGUUGUAAACCGCUUUCGCCUGUGACGAAGCGUGAGUGACGGUAAUGGGUAAAGAAGCACCGGCUAACUACGUG
RNAcentral lists this ribosomal RNA (468 nucleotides) under uncultured bacterium. RNAcentral describes it as "partial 16S ribosomal RNA". It matches the Rfam family "Bacterial small subunit ribosomal RNA", at positions 28 to 507 of the family's 1533-position model. The record is from RNAcentral.